UAACCUACCCUUGAAUCUGGAAUAACUCGCCGAAAGGCGGACUAAUACCGGAUACUGUCCUAAGGGCGCAUGCCCUUGGGAUGAAAGGUGACCUCUUCAUGAAAGUUGCCGUUCGGGGAGGGGCUCGCGUACCAUUAGCUUGUUGGUAGGGUAAUGGCCUACCAAGGCGACGAUGGUUAGCUGGUCUGAGAGGAUGAUCAGCCACACUGGAACUGGAACACGGUCCAGACUCCUACGGGAGGCAGCAGUGAGGAAUUUUGCGCAAUAGGGGAAACCCUGACGCAGCAACGCCGCGUGAGUGAAGAAGGCCUUCGGGUCGUAAAGCUCUGUCAAGUGGGAAAAAAUCCAACCGGUGAAUAGCCGGAUUGGACUGAUGGUACCGCUAGAGGAAGCACCGGCUAACUCCGUGCCAGCAGCCGCGGUAA
Molecule: ribosomal RNA, 425 nt
Filed under: uncultured delta proteobacterium
Lineage: Bacteria; Deltaproteobacteria
Description: bacterial SSU rRNA
Rfam family: Bacterial small subunit ribosomal RNA
Source: RNAcentral